GAAAUAACAUGAUGUGCAAAAUUAGACUUUGCAAAAUAAGCUUAACAAUGCAUGCAUCCUAAGUGUGUGCGCGCUCAAAUUAUUCAUUUAUUCUUUCUACCAAAACCUCAUAUAAUCAAUCAGAUUUAUCAAUCAAACAAAACAACAUCCCCGGAAUUAUAUUUCCAUCCGUUGGCAUUAGCUUAACAUAUCUCAAAAUAAAAAGAAUCUCGUAGCAAUCAUCUACUGACCAAAACAGAUCAUAUGCAAGUAAAUAGAGGAACAUAAAAUACAUAAUAUACUCCCUCACAAAACAUGUAUAUGUAUAUAUAUUAAUAUCAAAUCCCCACUUUAAAACUAUUAUACACUAAAACUAAUUGGGCCAUCAAAUAAUAUAGUUAGUGGUGCCUCAACCAAUUAAAACAAAAAAAAAGAAAGAAAGAAAGGAAGGGGUCAACAACUUAUUAUUAUAAAAAAAACUCCCAGCCACCUUUCUUUAAACGCAUAUCUUAAAAAAAAUACUCCCAACCAAAACAUACGUACAUACUCCCUACUCAACUCCAUACACCAUACUGCCAACCUUAACCGGGUCACUUCUAAACAAAAGCCCGGUAGGCCUAUUAAACAAAAAAAUGAUUUAGUUAGGGGCCCAAAAUUUGUAAGUGAAUUAAAUGGCCCAAGCCAUUAAACAAAUGAACUACAGUAUACUCCCUUCCAUCAUCAACGUAUCUCUCUCCCUUCUCCUUUCAAACACAGCAACUCUCUGUCUCUCUCUCUAUCUCAAAUUUUCACUCUCUGCCUCUGUAAAACUCACGCCCCCCCCCCUCAAUCUAUAUUAUUCUUCUAAAAUUCACAAACCAUCUCUCGAAUUUUGGUGUCUCAAUUUAGGAACAACAAAUCCCCAAAAUUAGAAGCACAAAGCUGACAUCUUUCUCCCCCUCGAUCUCUCCUCGCCAUUGAUAGAACUCGCCGCCGCCAGAUCAGUGCGGCAGCUUCUGUCAAAACACUGCCGCCGCGGCCUACCGUCGCCGAGUAGCUCCGCCCCUCACAACUUAUGAUUCAGAAAAAAAAUAGUGGAUAUAUCUUCACGGAAGAAGCAGAACUUGCAGAAGAGAAGGUAUUGAAAAGAUAACAACUCUUCGGGUUUCUCCUCCAGACGGUUUGUUGAGAUUGUGGGAGGAGAUGUAUAAAUGGAGUUAAUAGAGUAUUUGGUUGGAGAUUUUUAAGGAGUGGUGGAGAGAUUUUAGGAGUAGAGGUUUUGGUGAAUAAAGAAAACGUGUAGGAGGGUUUAGAGGAAGAGAUUUAUGUUGGCUGCAUGAAUGAAAUAGGAAUUAGGAAUAAAUGGUUAUAUUAAAAAUAGCCCAAUUGAAUAAGGAUAAAUGGGCUAAAAAAAAUAGACAAAAGUGAUAGGCCCAAAAAUAUAUAAUUUUAGUACAUUGAUUAAAUUGUGGUGUUUUAUUAAUUUAGUACUUUGGUGUUAUUCCAA
Salvia splendens (bonfire salvia) is the source of this 1465-nucleotide long non-coding RNA. RefSeq lists it as uncharacterized. NCBI's taxonomy places the organism in Eukaryota, Viridiplantae, Streptophyta, Magnoliopsida, Lamiales, Lamiaceae. The record is from RefSeq and is a predicted model, not a curated record. The transcript is spliced from 2 exons.